Molecule: ribosomal RNA, 1086 nt
Filed under: Veillonella sp.
Lineage: Bacteria; Bacillati; Bacillota; Negativicutes; Veillonellales; Veillonellaceae
Description: partial 23S ribosomal RNA
Rfam family: Bacterial large subunit ribosomal RNA
Source: RNAcentral
UCCGUAGUCGAAAGGGAAACAGCCCAGACCACCAGCUAAGGUCCCAAAAUAUAUGUUAAGUGGAAAAGGAUGUGGGGUUGCACAGACAACUAGGAUGUUAGCUUAGAAGCAGCUAUUCAUUCAAAGAGUGCGUAAUAGCUCACUAGUCGAGUGACCCUGCGCCGAAAAUGUACCGGGGCUAAAACAUAUUACCGAAGCUGUGGAUGACACAAAAGUGUCAUGGUAGGAGAGCGUUCUAUGUGUGAAGAAGGUGUACCGUGAGGAGCGCUGGAACGCAUAGAAGUGAGAAUGCCGGUAUGAGUAGCGCAAGACAGGUGAGAAUCCUGUCCACCGUAAGACUAAGGUUUCCAGGGGAAGGCUCGUCCGCCCUGGGUUAGUCGGGACCUAAGGAGAGACCGAAAGGUGUAUCCGAUGGACAACAGGUUGAUAUUCCUGUACUAGAGUAUAUAGUGAUGGAGGGACGCAGUAGGCUAACUAAACCAGACGAUUGGAAGUGUCUGGUCAAACAGUGAGGUGUGAUAUGAGUCAAAUGCUUAUAUCUUUAACAUUGAGCUGUGACGAGGAGCGAAGUUUAGUAGCGAAGUUAGUGAUGUCACACUGCCAAGAAAAGCUUCUAGCGAUACAUAUACUCUACCCGUACCGCAAACCGACACAGGUAGUCGAGGCGAGUAGCCUCAGGUGAGCGAGAGAACUCUCGUUAAGGAACUCGGCAAAAUGGCCCCGUAACUUCGGGAGAAGGGGCGCUGAUUUUAGAUCAGCCGCAGUGAAUAGGCCCAAGCAACUGUUUAUCAAAAACACAGCUCUCUGCUAAAUCGUAAGAUGAUGUAUAGGGGGUGACGCCUGCCCGGUGCUGGAAGGUUAAGAGGAGUGCUUAGCGUAAGCGAAGGUAUGAAUUGAAGCCCCAGUAAACGGCGGCCGUAACUAUAACGGUCCUAAGGUAGCGAAAUUCCUUGUCGGGUAAGUUCCGACCCGCACGAAAGGCGUAAUGAUUUGGGCACUGUCUCAACGAGAGACUCGGUGAAAUUUUAGUACCUGUGAAGAUGCAGGUUACCCGCGACAGGACGGAAAGACCCCAUGGAGCUUUAC